UACGGAGGGUGCGAGCGUUAAUCGGAAUUACUGGGCGUAAAGGGUGCGUAGGUGGUUUGAUAAGUUAUCUGUGAAAGCCCUGGGCUCAACCUGGGAAGGCCAGAUAAGACUGUUAGACUGGAGUAUGGGAGAGGGUAGUGGAAUUUCCGGUGUAAGCGGUGAAAUGCGUAGAGAUCGGAAGGAACACCAGUGGCGAAGGCGGCUACCUGGCCUGAUACUGACACUGAAGCACGAAAGCGUGGGGAGCAAACAGG
RNAcentral lists this ribosomal RNA (254 nucleotides) under uncultured bacterium. RNAcentral describes it as "partial 16S ribosomal RNA". It matches the Rfam family "Bacterial small subunit ribosomal RNA", at positions 524 to 776 of the family's 1533-position model. The record is from RNAcentral.